RNAcentral lists this ribosomal RNA (241 nucleotides) under uncultured bacterium. RNAcentral describes it as "partial small subunit ribosomal RNA". It matches the Rfam family "Bacterial small subunit ribosomal RNA", at positions 26 to 285 of the family's 1533-position model. The record is from RNAcentral.
AGGACGAACGCUGGCGGCGUGCUUAACACAUGCAAGUCGAGCGGAAAGGCCCUUCGGGGUACUCGAGUGGCGCACGGGUGAGUAACACGUGGAUCAUCUACCUUUUAGUGGGGAAUACCUCUGGGAAACCGGAGAUAAUACCGCAUAAGCUCGUAAGAGGAAAGCAGCAAUGCGCUGAAAGAGGAGUCCGCGGCUGAUUAGCUAGUUGGUGAGGUAACGGCCACCAAGGCGAAGAUCGGUA